GCCUGCAUGAAGUCGGAAUUGCUAGUAAUCGCAGAUCAGCAUGCUGCGGUGAAUACGUUCCCGGGCCUUGUACACACCGCCCGUCACACCAUGGGAGUCGGUAACACCCGAAGUCGGUAGCCUAACCGUAAGGAGGGCGCCGCCGAAGGUGGGAUUGAUGACUGGGGUGAAGUCGUAACAAGGUAAC
RNAcentral lists this ribosomal RNA (187 nucleotides) under uncultured bacterium. RNAcentral's name for it is "partial 16S ribosomal RNA". It matches the Rfam family "Bacterial small subunit ribosomal RNA", at positions 1314 to 1500 of the family's 1533-position model. The record is from RNAcentral.